UGGGGAAUAUUGCACAAUGGGCGCAAGCCUGAUGCAGCAACGCCGCGUGAGGGACGACGGCCUUCGGGUUGUAAACCUCUUUUGGCAGGGAAGAAGCGAAAGUGACGGUACCUGCAGAAAAAGCACCGGCUAACUACGUGCCAGCGGCCGCGGUGAUACGUAGGGUGCAAGCGUUGUCCGGAAUUAUUGGGCGUAAAGAGCUCGUAGGCGGUUUGUCGCGUCUGCUGUGAAAACCCGAGGCUCAACCUCGGGCCUGCAGUGGGUACGGGCAAACUAGAGUGCGGUAGGGGAGAUUGGAAUUCCUGGUGUAGCGGUGGAAUGCGCAGAUAUCAGGAGGAACACCGAUGGCGAAGGCAGAUCUCUGGGCCGUAACUGACGCUGAGGAGCGAAAGCAUGGGGAGCGAACA
RNAcentral lists this ribosomal RNA (407 nucleotides) under uncultured bacterium. RNAcentral describes it as "bacterial SSU rRNA". It matches the Rfam family "Bacterial small subunit ribosomal RNA", at positions 355 to 774 of the family's 1533-position model. The record is from RNAcentral.